AGAGUUUGAUCAUGGCUCAGAGCGAACGCUGGCGGCAGGCUUAACACAUGCAAGUCGAGCGGGCGUAGCAAUACGUCAGCGGCAGACGGGUGAGUAACGCGUGGGAACGUACCUUUUGGUUCGGAACAACACAGGGAAACUUGUGCUAAUACCGGAUAAGCCCUUACGGGGAAAGAUUUAUCGCCGAAAGAUCGGCCCGCGUCUGAUUAGCUAGUUGGUGAGGUAAUGGCUCACCAAGGCGACGAUCAGUAGCCGGUCUGAGAGGAUGAUCAGCCACAUUGGGACUGAGACACGGCCCAAACUCCUACGGGAGGCAGCAGUGGGGAAUAUUGGACAAUGGGCGCAAGCCUGAUCCAGCCAUGCCGCGUGAGUGAUGAAGGCCCUAGGGUUGUAAAGCUCUUUUGUGCGGGAAGAUAAUGACGGUACCGCAAGAAUAAGCCCCGGCUAACUUCGUGCCAGCAGCCGCGGUAAUACGAAGGGGGCUAGCGUUGCUCGGAAUCACUGGGCGUAAAGGGUGCGUAGGCGGGUCUUUAAGUCAGGGGUGAAAUCCUGGAGCUCAACUCCAGAACUGCCUUUGAUACUGAGGAUCUUGAGUUCGGGAGAGGUGAGUGGAACUGCGAGUGUAGAGGUGAAAUUCGUAGAUAUUCGCAAGAACACCAGUGGCGAAGGCGGCUCACUGGCCCGAUACUGACGCUGAGGCACGAAAGCGUGGGGAGCAAACAGGAUUAGAUACCCUAGUAGUCC
This 744-nucleotide ribosomal RNA is filed under the name uncultured bacterium. Its description in RNAcentral is "bacterial SSU rRNA". It matches the Rfam family "Bacterial small subunit ribosomal RNA", at positions 8 to 796 of the family's 1533-position model. The record is from RNAcentral.